CUGGCAACUAUGACGGCCCGCCUGCAAACCAGCCUUGCUGGUGGGGCGGGCCUGAGAACCUGGCGUG
RNAcentral lists this non-coding RNA (67 nucleotides) under Marmota monax (woodchuck). It matches the Rfam family "Selenocysteine insertion sequence 1". From Rfam's summary of the family: The incorporation of selenocysteine into a protein sequence is directed by an in-frame UGA codon (usually a stop codon) within the coding region of the mRNA. The record is from RNAcentral. Lineage: Eukaryota; Metazoa; Chordata; Mammalia; Rodentia; Sciuridae.